Molecule: long non-coding RNA, 889 nt
Organism: Balaenoptera ricei (Rice's whale)
Lineage: Eukaryota; Metazoa; Chordata; Mammalia; Artiodactyla; Balaenopteridae
Exons: 4
Source: RefSeq, a predicted model, not a curated record
GUUUGUGGUCUGGGGCGUCCGGCGUGUGCGCACGCGCGCCUGGUGGGGGCGGUGUUUUCUCUUUCAGCCCGCGGUUACCCCGGGGGAUGCCGGGAGUGAGGCCUUCCAGCGUCCACGCGGUCGGAACCAGAAGGGACUCCAGAUUCCACAUAUAAGCGAUCCUGGGCAUAUAUCUGGAGAAAACUAUAAUACAAAAAGAUACAUGCACCCCUAUGUUCACUGCAGCACUAUUUACAGUAGCCAAGACAUGGAAGCAACCUAAAAGCCCAUCAACAGAUGAAUGCAUAAAGAAGAUGUGGUACAUAUAUACAGUGGAAUAUUACUCAGCCAUAAAAAAGAACAAAAUAAUGCCAUUUGCAUCAACAUGGAUGGACCUAGAGAGUCUCAUACUGAGGAAAAGCAACAGAUGGCAUCUACACUUUACAUGCCAAGAUGCUCUCUUAGAGUUUGGAGAGAGUCUGGGAGCAGUGUAAUGUGGACCAGGCCAGUUCCAGACUGAGGCAGAGCUGGGAUCUCCUCCUCGGUCUCCGCAGCUCACAGAGCACGGCCGGGACAAGCUGGACUGUGGGCCUUCUGCCCUCGUAGAAUCUGGAAUUCACCUUGGAUUUUGGAAUCUGGAGAAUAAGCAGAGAGAUUGCCAAAGCGCCUGGACAGUACCGCCAGUGCCUUCGCAGAAGCCCAAACUGAAGGCUGCGAGAACGAGGGUCAGCUCUGCGGUCCCCCACCCAACCCUGCACCGCCCCCAGUGGUGUUCAGACAGCCUGUUUCAGGAGUCACAUGGGCUGGGUCUGCUCACUCAGACUGUUUAAGGUUUUGAGCUCAGUGGAAUAAGAAGUUUCCCUGCAGAUCUACGUGGCCUCUGGACUGAAAUACAAAAUACUUGGCAUCA